AGCGUACACGGUGGAUGCCCUGGCAGUCAGAGGCGAUGAAGGACGUGCUAAUCUGCGAUAAGCGUCGGUAAGGUGAUAUGAACCGUUAUAACCGGCGAUUUCCGAAUGGGGAAACCCAGUGUGUUUCGACACACUAUCAUUAACUGAAUCCAUAGGUUAAUGAGGCGAACCGGGGGAACUGAAACAUCUAAGUACCCCGAGGAAAAGAAAUCAACCGAGAUUCCCCCAGUAGCGGCGAGCGAACGGGGAGCAGCCCAGAGCCUGAAUCAGUGUGUGUGUUAGUGGAAGCGUCUGGAAAGGCGCGCGAUACAGGGUGACAGCCCCGUACACAAAAAUGCACAUACUGUGAGCUCGAUGAGUAGGGCGGGACACGUGGUAUCCUGUCUGAAUAUGGGGGGACCAUCCUCCAAGGCUAAAUACUCCUGACUGACCGAUAGUGAACCAGUACCGUGAGGGAAAGGCGAAAAGAACCCCGGCGAGGGGAGUGAAAAAGAACCUGAAACCGUGUACGUACAAGCAGUGGGAGCCUCUUUUAUGGGGUGACUGCGUACCUUUUGUAUAAUGGGUCAGCGACUUAUAUUCUGUAGCAAGGUUAACCGAAUAGGGGAGCCGAAGGGAAACCGAGUCUUAACUGGGCGUUAAGUUGCAGGGUAUAGACCCGAAACCCGGUGAUCUAGCCAUGGGCAGGUUGAAGGUUGGGUAACACUAACUGGAGGACCGAACCGACUAAUGUUGAAAAAUUAGCGGAUGACUUGUGGCUGGGGGUGAAAGGCCAAUCAAACCGGGAGAUAGCUGGUUCUCCCCGAAAGCUAUUUAGGUAGCGCCUCGUGAAUUCAUCUCCGGGGGUAGAGCACUGUUUCGGCAAGGGGGUCAUCCCGACUUACCAACCCGAUGCAAACUGCGAAUACCGGAGAAUGUUAUCACGGGAGACACACGGCGGGUGCUAACGUCCGUCGUGAAGAGGGAAACAACCCAGACCGCCAGCUAAGGUCCCAAAGUCAUGGUUAAGUGGGAAACGAUGUGGGAAGGCCCAGACAGCCAGGAUGUUGGCUUAGAAGCAGCCAUCAUUUAAAGAAAGCGUAAUAGCUCACUGGUCGAGUCGGCCUGCGCGGAAGAUGUAACGGGGCUAAACCAUGCACCGAAGCUGCGGCAGCGACACUAUGUGUUGUUGGGUAGGGGAGCGUUCUGUAAGCCUGUGAAGGUGUACUGUGAGGUAUGCUGGAGGUAUCAGAAGUGCGAAUGCUGACAUAAGUAACGAUAAAGCGGGUGAAAAGCCCGCUCGCCGGAAGACCAAGGGUUCCUGUCCAACGUUAAUCGGGGCAGGGUGAGUCGACCCCUAAGGCGAGGCCGAAAGGCGUAGUCGAUGGGAAACAGGUUAAUAUUCCUGUACUUGGUGUUACUGCGAAGGGGGGACGGAGAAGGCUAUGUUGGCCGGGCGACGGUUGUCCCGGUUUAAGCGUGUAGGCUGGUUUUCCAGGCAAAUCCGGAAAAUCAAGGCUGAGGCGUGAUGACGAGGCACUACGGUGCUGAAGCAACAAAUGCCCUGCUUCCAGGAAAAGCCUCUAAGCAUCAGGUAACAUCAAAUCGUACCCCAAACCGACACAGGUGGUCAGGUAGAGAAUACCAAGGCGCUUGAGAGAACUCGGGUGAAGGAACUAGGCAAAAUGGUGCCGUAACUUCGGGAGAAGGCACGCUGAUAUGUAGGUGAAGCGACUUGCUCGUGGAGCUGAAAUCAGUCGAAGAUACCAGCUGGCUGCAACUGUUUAUUAAAAACACAGCACUGUGCAAACACGAAAGUGGACGUAUACGGUGUGACGCCUGCCCGGUGCCGGAAGGUUAAUUGAUGGGGUCAGCGCAAGCGAAGCUCUUGAUCGAAGCCCCGGUAAACGGCGGCCGUAACUAUAACGGUCCUAAGGUAGCGAAAUUCCUUGUCGGGUAAGUUCCGACCUGCACGAAUGGCGUAAUGAUGGCCAGGCUGUCUCCACCCGAGACUCAGUGAAAUUGAACUCGCUGUGAAGAUGCAGUGUACCCGCGGCAAGACGGAAAGACCCCGUGAACCUUUACUAUAGCUUGACACUGAACAUUGAGCCUUGAUGUGUAGGAUAGGUGGGAGGCUUAGAAGUGUGGACGCCAGUCUGCAUGGAGCCGACCUUGAAAUACCACCCUUUAAUGUUUGAUGUUCUAACGUUGACCCGUGAUCCGGGUUGCGGACAGUGUCUGGUGGGUAGUUUGACUGGGGCGGUCUCCUCCUAAAGAGUAACGGAGGAGCACGAAGGUUGGCUAAUCCUGGUCGGACAUCAGGAGGUUAGUGCAAUGGCAUAAGCCAGCUUGACUGCGAGCGUGACGGCGCGAGCAGGUGCGAAAGCAGGUCAUAGUGAUCCGGUGGUUCUGAAUGGAAGGGCCAUCGCUCAACGGAUAAAAGGUACUCCGGGGAUAACAGGCUGAUACCGCCCAAGAGUUCAUAUCGACGGCGGUGUUUGGCACCUCGAUGUCGGCUCAUCACAUCCUGGGGCUGAAGUAGGUCCCAAGGGUAUGGCUGUUCGCCAUUUAAAGUGGUACGCGAGCUGGGUUUAGAACGUCGUGAGACAGUUCGGUCCCUAUCUGCCGUGGGCGCUGGAGAACUGAGGGGGGCUGCUCCUAGUACGAGAGGACCGGAGUGGACGCAUCACUGGUGUUCGGGUUGUCAUGCCAAUGGCACUGCCCGGUAGCUAAAUGCGGAAGAGAUAAGUGCUGAAAGCAUCUAAGCACGAAACUUGCCCCGAGAUGAGUUCU
This 2772-nucleotide ribosomal RNA is filed under the name Escherichia coli. Its description in RNAcentral is "bacterial LSU rRNA". It matches the Rfam family "Bacterial large subunit ribosomal RNA". The record is from RNAcentral. Lineage: Bacteria; Pseudomonadati; Pseudomonadota; Gammaproteobacteria; Enterobacterales; Enterobacteriaceae.